GGGGAAUAUUGCGCAAUGGGGGAAACCCUGACGCAGCGACGCCGCGUGAGCGAAGAAGGCCUUCGGGUUGUAAAGCUCUGUUGUAAGGGACGAAAGAUCAAGGGAAUAACUGCCCUUGAAGUGACGGUACCUUACCAGCAAGCCCCGGCUAACUACGUGCCAGCAGCCGCGGUAAGACGUAGGGGGCGAGCGUUGUCCGGAAUUACUGGGCGUAAAGAGCACGUAGGCGGAUGUAUAAGUCAGGUGUGAAAGACCGCAGCCUAACUGCGGGGUUGCACUUGAAACUGUAUAUCUUGAGGGCAGGAGAGGUUAGUAGAAUUCCUGGUGUAGCGGUGAAAUGCGUAGAAAUCAGGAGGAAUACCAGUGGCGAAGGCGACUGACUGGACUGACCCUGACGCUGAGGUGCGAAAGCGUGGGUAGCAAAC
This 425-nucleotide ribosomal RNA is filed under the name uncultured bacterium. RNAcentral's name for it is "bacterial SSU rRNA". It matches the Rfam family "Bacterial small subunit ribosomal RNA", at positions 356 to 773 of the family's 1533-position model. The record is from RNAcentral.